AGUGAACGCUGGCGGUAGGCCUAACACAUGCAAGUCGAACGGCAGCACAGUAAGAGCUUGCUCUUACGGGUGGCGAGUGGCGGACGGGUGAGGAAUACAUCGGAAUCUACUUUUUCGUGGGGGAUAACGUAGGGAAACUUACGCUAAUACCGCAUACGACCUACGGGUGAAAGCAGGGGAUCUUCGGACCUUGCGCGAUUGAAUGAGCCGAUGUCGGAUUAGCUAGUUGGCGGGGUAAAGGCCCACCAAGGCGACGAUCCGUAGCUGGUCUGAGAGAAUGAUGAGCCACACUGGAACUGAGACACGGUCCAGACUCCUACGGGAGGCAGCAGUGGGGAAUAUUGGACAAUGGGCGCAAGCCUGAUCCAGCCAUCCCGCGUGGGUGAAGAAGGCCUUCGGGUUGUAAAGCCCUUUUGUUGGGAAAGAAAAGCAGCAGGUUAAUACCCCGCUGUUCUGACGGUACCCAAAGAAUAAGCACCGGCUAACUUCGUG
Molecule: ribosomal RNA, 492 nt
Filed under: uncultured bacterium
Lineage: Bacteria
Description: partial 16S ribosomal RNA
Rfam family: Bacterial small subunit ribosomal RNA
Source: RNAcentral